This 433-nucleotide ribosomal RNA is filed under the name uncultured bacterium. RNAcentral describes it as "partial 16S ribosomal RNA". It matches the Rfam family "Bacterial small subunit ribosomal RNA", at positions 29 to 507 of the family's 1533-position model. The record is from RNAcentral.
AACGAACGCUGGCGGCAUGCCUAACACAUGCAAGUCGAACGAGACCUUCGGGUCUAGUGGCGCACGGGUGCGUAACGCGUGGGAACCUGCCCUUAGGUUCGGAAUAACUCCCCGAAAGGGGUGCUAAUACCGGAUAAUGUCUUCGGACCAAAGAUUUAUCGCCUUUGGAUGGGCCCGCGUUGGAUUAGCUAGUUGGUAGGGUAAAAGCCUACCAAGGCGACGAUCCAUAGCUGGUCUGAGAGGAUGAUCAGCCACACUGGGACUGAGACACGGCCCAGACUCGUACGGGAGGCAGCAGUGGGGAAUAUUGGACACUGGGCGAAAGCGUGAUCCAGCAAUGCCGCGUGAGUGAUGAAGGCCUUAGGGUUGUAAAGCUCUUUUACCCGGGAUGAUAAUGACAGUACCGGGAGAAUAAGCUCCGGCUAACUCCGUG